RNAcentral lists this microRNA (21 nucleotides) under Hordeum vulgare. RNAcentral's name for it is "hvu-miR6197". Lineage: Eukaryota; Viridiplantae; Streptophyta; Magnoliopsida; Poales; Poaceae. The record is from miRBase by way of RNAcentral.
UCUGUUCCUAAAUGUAAGACG